CCCAGAUCAGCAAGGUAGAAACUUCACUCCAGGCUACAGCAGCCAAGAAUAUAGGACUGCCUCUCCCCCAACUGGAAGCAUUAUUCUCAGGAGGAGUAAAACUGCAUUUCUCAUUCUGCCCCCAGCUACUGGUUGCUGAGGCUGUUCCAGGUAACUGUGGUCAAGAGCACCACAACCCACGAGUAGACUUCAGAGAAUUAUCCAGCCAUUCUUGCUUUGUUCCUGAUCUUACAGGGAAAAGUUCUUGUUUCUCACUGAUACAGGAAGUACGUGUGCAGAUUUGUCACAUGGUUAUAUUGCAUGAAGCUGAGGUUUGUGGUAUGGAUCCUGUCACCAGGGAGUGAGCAUAGUAGCCAAUAGAACCAAGGUCUUGCUAUGUUUCCCAGGCUGGUCUCAAACUGCUGGACUCAAGUGAUCCUCCUGCCUCAGCCUCUCAAAGUGUUGAAAUUACAGGCAUGAGCCACCACACCUAGCUAAAAUUUUAAGUACACAAUACAGUAUUAUUAACCAUAGGCUCUAUGCUGUACAAUAUAUCCCUAGGACUUAUUCAACUUAUGUAACUGAAAAUUGUAUUCUUUGUCUAAUAACUUUGAUUCCACCUCAUCAUGUUCCCUUCAACAACUAUUCCACUCUCUGCUGCUAUGAGUUUGACUAUUUUAGAUUCAUCACAUAGGUGGUAUUAUGUAGUAUUUGUCCUUGUGUGUUUGGCUAAUUUCACUUAGCCUAUUAUCCUCCACACUCAUCCAUAUUUCACAAAUGGCAGGAUUUCCUUCUUUCAUAAGUCUGAAUAAUAUUUCAUUGUAUGUGUAUACUACAUUUUCUUUAUCCAUUCAUCUAUCAAUAAACAUUUACAUUGAGUCUCUUUGGCUCGUGUGUUAUUUAGAAGUCUGUUGUUUGAUUUUCAAGUAUUUUGGGAUUUUCCAGCUAUCUUUCUGUUAUUAACUUCUCAUUUAAUUCCAUUGUGGUUUGAGAGCAGACAUUGUAUGAUUCAUAUCCAUACAAAUUUGUUAAGGUGUUUUGUGGCCCAGAAUGUCAUCAGUCUUGGCGAAUGUUUUGUGUGAGCUUGAGAACAAUGUAUAAUCUACUGUUGUUUGAUGAAGUGCCCUUUAAUUGGUGUUAAUUAAAUCUAUUUGAUUAAUGGUGAUAUUGAUUUCCUCUAGGUCCUUAUUAAUUUUCUGCCUGUCAAAUCUGUCCAUUACUGAAAAAGACAUGUUAAAGUCUCCAACUAUAAUAGUGAAUGUAUCUAUUCCCUUUUACAGUUUUAUCAUUUUUUGCCUCAUGUAUUUUGAUGCUAUCGUUAGGUGCAUACACAUUAAGGAUUGUUAGCCCUGUUGUAUAAUUGGCCCUCAUCAUUAUGUAGUAAACCUCUUUAUCC
This 1375-nucleotide long non-coding RNA is filed under the name Homo sapiens (human). RNAcentral's name for it is "HSALNT0283784". Lineage: Eukaryota; Metazoa; Chordata; Mammalia; Primates; Hominidae. The record is from RNAcentral.